ACUGGGCGCAGUGGUGCAUGCUUGUAGUCCCAGCUACUCAGGAGGCUGAGGCUGGAAGAUCACUUGAACCCAGGAGUUCUGGGUUCUGUAGUGCACUAUGCCAAUAGGGUGUCCACACUAAGUUUGGCAUCAAUAUGGUGACCUCCUGGGAGUUGGGGAUCACCAGGUUGCCUAAGAAGGCGUGAAACGGCACAGGUCAGAAACAGCAGAGGACAAAACUCCCAUGCUGAUCAGCAGUGGGAUGGCACUUGUGAAUAGCCACUGCACUCUAGCCUGGGCAACACAGCAAGACCCCACCUCAA
Molecule: unclassified non-coding RNA, 302 nt
Organism: Callithrix jacchus (white-tufted-ear marmoset)
Lineage: Eukaryota; Metazoa; Chordata; Mammalia; Primates; Cebidae
Rfam family: Metazoan signal recognition particle RNA
About the family: The signal recognition particle (SRP) is a universally conserved ribonucleoprotein.
Source: Ensembl